RNAcentral lists this ribosomal RNA (1094 nucleotides) under Alternaria alternata. RNAcentral describes it as "SSU rRNA". It matches the Rfam family "Eukaryotic small subunit ribosomal RNA", at positions 1 to 1122 of the family's 1831-position model. The record is from RNAcentral. Lineage: Eukaryota; Fungi; Ascomycota; Dothideomycetes; Pleosporales; Pleosporaceae.
UUGUAGGUCCAUAUACGGCUGUCUCAAAGAUUUAAGCCAUGCAUGUCUAGUAUAAGCAAUAUACCGUGAACUGCGAUGGCUCAUUAAAUCAGUUAUCGUUUAUUGAUAAUACCUUACUACUUGGAUAUCCCGUGGUAAUUCUAGAGCUAAUACAUGCUGAAAAUCCCGACUUCGGAAGGGAUGUGUUUAUUAGAUAAAAAACCAAUGCCCUUCGGGGCUUUUUGGUGAUUCAUGAUAACUUUACGGAUCGCAUAGCCUUGCGCUGGCGACGGUUCAUUCAAAUUUCUGCCCUAUCAACUUUCGAUGGUAAGGUAUUGGCUUACCAUGGUUUCAACGGGUAACGGGGAAUUAGGGUUCGAUUCCGGAGAGGGAGCCUGAGAAACGGCUACCACAUCCAAGGAAGGCAGCAGGCGCGCAAAUUACCCAAUCCCGACACGGGGAGGUAGUGACAAUAAAUACUGAUACAGGGCUCUUUUGGGUCUUGUAAUUGGAAUGAGUACAAUUUAAACCUCUUAACGAGGAACAAUUGGAGGGCAAGUCUGGUGCCAGCAGCCGCGGUAAUUCCAGCUCCAAUAGCGUAUAUUAAAGUUGUUGCAGUUAAAAAGCUCGUAGUUGAAACUUGGGCCUGGCUGGCGGGUCCGCCUCACCGCGUGCACUCGUCCGGCCGGGCCUUCCUUCUGAAGAACCUCAUGCCCUUCACUGGGCGUGCUGGGGAAUCAGGACUUUUACUUUGAAAAAAUUAGAGUGUUCAAAGCAGGCCUUUGCUCGAAUACGUUAGCAUGGAAUAAUAAAAUAGGGCGUGCGUUUCUAUUUUGUUGGUUUCUAGAGACGCCGCAAUGAUUAACAGGAACAGUCGGGGGCAUCAGUAUUCAGUUGUCAGAGGUGAAAUUCUUGGAUUUACUGAAGACUAACUACUGCGAAAGCAUUUGCCAAGGAUGUUUUCAUUAAUCAGUGAACGAAAGUUAGGGGAUCGAAGACGAUCAGAUACCGUCGUAGUCUUAACCGUAAACUAUGCCGACUAGGGAUCGGGCGAUGUUCUUUUUCUGACUCGCUCGGCACCUUACGAGAAAUCAAAGUUUUGGGUUCUGGGGGAU